GGCAUGGUGGCUCAGUGGUUAGAGCGCCGGCUCAUGAACGGGAGGUCGUGGGUUCGAACCUCGGCCGAGUCA
RNAcentral lists this transfer RNA (72 nucleotides) under Strongylocentrotus purpuratus (purple sea urchin). It matches the Rfam family "tRNA". Rfam says of the family: Transfer RNA (tRNA) molecules are approximately 80 nucleotides in length. Their secondary structure includes four short double-helical elements and three loops (D, anti-codon, and T loops). Lineage: Eukaryota; Metazoa; Echinodermata; Echinoidea; Camarodonta; Strongylocentrotidae. The record is from Rfam by way of RNAcentral.